RNAcentral lists this transfer RNA (73 nucleotides) under Camelus bactrianus (Bactrian camel). It matches the Rfam family "tRNA". Rfam says of the family: Transfer RNA (tRNA) molecules are approximately 80 nucleotides in length. The record is from Rfam by way of RNAcentral. Lineage: Eukaryota; Metazoa; Chordata; Mammalia; Artiodactyla; Camelidae. RNAcentral also lists the same sequence under 2 other names.
GAGGGUAUAUCUCAAGGGGUAGAGCACAUGUUUAGCACACACAAGGUCCUGGGUUCAAUGCCCAGUACCUCCU